This 821-nucleotide ribosomal RNA is filed under the name uncultured bacterium. RNAcentral describes it as "bacterial SSU rRNA". It matches the Rfam family "Bacterial small subunit ribosomal RNA", at positions 51 to 839 of the family's 1533-position model. The record is from RNAcentral.
ACACAUGCAAGUCGAACGAAAAGAGGGAAAGAGCUUGCUCUUUCCGGAAUUGAGUGGCAAACGGGUGAGUAACACGUAAACAACCUGCCUUCAGGAUGGGGACAACAGACGGAAACGACUGCUAAUACCGAAUAAGUUCCAAGAGCCGCAUGGCCCAUGGAAGAAAAGGUGGCCUCUACCUGUAAGCUAUCGCCUGAAGAGGGGUUUGCGUCUGAUUAGCUGGUUGGAGGGGUAACGGCCCACCAAGGCGACGAUCAGUAGCCGGUCUGAGAGGAUGAACGGCCACACUGGAACUGAGACACGGUCCAGACUCCUACGGGAGGCAGCAGUGGGGAAUCUUCCGCAAUGGGCGAAAGCCUGACGGAGCAACGCCGCGUGAGUGAUGACGGCCUUCGGGUUGUAAAACUCUGUGAUCCGGGACGAAAAGGCAGAGUGCGAAGAACAAACUGCAUUGACGGUACCGGAAAAGCAAGCCACGGCUAACUACGUGCCAGCAGCCGCGGUAAUACGUAGGUGGCAAGCGUUGUCCGGAAUUAUUGGGCGUAAAGCGCGCGCAGGCGGCUUCCCAAGUCCCUCUUAAAAGUGCGGGGCUUAACCCCGUGAUGGGAAGGAAACUGGGAGGCUGGAGUAUCGGAGAGGAAAGUGGAAUUCCUAGUGUAGCGGUGAAAUGCGUAGAGAUUAGGAAGAACACCGGUGGCGAAGGCGACUUUCUGGACGAAAACUGACGCUGAGGCGCGAAAGCGUGGGGAGCAAACAGGAUUAGAUACCCUGGUAGUCCACGCCGUAAACGAUGGAUACUAGGUGUAGGAGGUAUCGACCCC